RNAcentral lists this ribosomal RNA (1248 nucleotides) under human gut metagenome. Its description in RNAcentral is "bacterial LSU rRNA". It matches the Rfam family "Bacterial large subunit ribosomal RNA", at positions 1253 to 2510 of the family's 2925-position model. The record is from RNAcentral.
AAGCAAAAAGCGUAAGCAAUUGUGGAUUAUAUACAAGUGAGAAUGCUGGCAUGAGUAGCGAAAAGGGAUGUGAGAAUCAUCCCCGUCGAAAGCCCAAGGAUUCCUGAGCAAGGCUCGUCCUCUCAGGGUAAGUCGGGACCUAAGGCGAGGCCGAAAGGCGUAGUCGAUGGACAACAGGUAGAAAUUCCUGUACUACAAGAUUGUGAUUGAGAGAAGUACUGACGCAGAAGGAAAAGUCGAGCGUGUGAAUGGUAGAACACGUCCAAGUAACAAGCCAGAAUAUACAGGCAAAUCCGUAUAUUCGUUAACGUAAGUUAUCAUGGGGAGCAGAAAGAUGCGAAGCGACAGAUUCAAACUGCCAAGAAAAGGUGCUAUCGAAUAAUCUUGUACCCGUACCGCAAACCGACACAGGUAGGCAAGAAGAGAAUUCUAAGACGCGCGGAAGAACCUUUGUUAAGGAACUCGGCAAAAUAAUCCCGUAAGUUAGCGAGAAGGGAUGCCUAAGAAAUUAGGUCGCAGAGAAUAGGCCCAAGCGACUGUUUACCAAAAACACAAGUAUCUGCUAAAUCGAAAGAUGAAGUAUAGGUGCUGACACCUGCCCGGUGCUGGAAGGUCAAGGGGACUUGUUAGAGCAAUCGAAGCAACGAACUUAAGCCCCAGUAAACGGCGGCCGUAACUAUAACGGUCCUAAGGUAGCGAAAUUCCUUGUCGGGUAAGUUCCGACCCGCACGAAAGGUGUAACGAUUUGGGCGCUGUCUCAACAAAGGAUCCGGUGAAAUUGUAGUAGUCGUGAAGAUGCGACUUACCCACGGUAGGACGGAAAGACCCCGUGGAGCUUUACUGCAGGUUGACAUUGAAUUUUGGGAUUAAAUGUACAGGAUAGGUGGGAGACUAAGAAGCAAGCUCGCCAGAGUUUGCAGAGUCACUGUUGGGAUACCACCCUUUUAAUUCUAAAGUUCUAACUAGUUGCCAUGAAACUGGUAAUAGGACACUGUCAGUCGGGCAGUUUGACUGGGGCGGUCGCCUCCAAAAAAGUAACGGAGGCGUUCAAAGGUUCGCUCAGAAUGGUUGGAAAUCAUUCAAAGAGUACAAAGGCAAAAGCGAGCUUAACUGCGAGACAUACAGGUCGAGCAGAGACGAAAGUCGGACUUAGUGAUCCGGUGGUACCGAGUGGAAGGGCCAUCGCUCAACGGAUAAAAGCUACCCCGGGGAUAACAGGCUUAUCUCCCCCAAGAGUCCACAUCGACG